This 374-nucleotide ribosomal RNA is filed under the name Anisotremus interruptus. RNAcentral's name for it is "partial 12S ribosomal RNA". It matches the Rfam family "Bacterial small subunit ribosomal RNA", at positions 962 to 1527 of the family's 1533-position model. Lineage: Eukaryota; Metazoa; Chordata; Actinopteri; Lutjaniformes; Haemulidae. The record is from RNAcentral.
CGUUCAACCUCACCCUUCCUUGUUCAUCCCGCCUAUAUACCACCGUCGUCAGCUUACCCUGUGAAGGUCCAAUAGUAAGCAAGAUUGGCAUUGCCCAAAACGCCAGGUCGAGGUGUAGCGUAUGGAAGGGGAAGUAAUGGGCUACAUUCACUAACAAUAGUGUAUACGAACAGUGCACUGAAACGUGCACAUUGAAGGAGGAUUUAGCAGUAAGUGGAAAAUAGAGCGUUCCACUGAAAUUGGCCCUGAAGCGCGCACACACCGCCCGUCACUCUCCCCAAGCUCCACUAGCCUAAAUGCCUAAAACCUAAAAAAUGCAAAGGGGAGGCAAGUCGUAACAUGGUAAGCGUACCGGAAGGUGCGCUUGGAAAAAC